AUACGAGUGAGAGGACUCUGGGUCACCUCCCACCCGUGUUUAUCGUACCUUGUUGCUUCGGCGGGCCCGCCUCACGGCCGCCGGGGGGCAUCCGCCCCCGGGCCCGCGCCCGCCGAAGACACACAAACGAACUCUUGUCUGAAGAUUGCAGUCUGAGUACUUGACUAAAUCAGUUAAAACUUUCAACAACGGAUCUCUUGGUUCCGGCAUCGAUGAAGAACGCAGCGAAAUGCGAUAAGUAAUGUGAAUUGCAGAAUUCAGUGAAUCAUCGAGUCUUUGAACGCACAUUGCGCCCCCUGGUAUUCCGGGGGGCAUGCCUGUCCGAGCGUCAUUGCUGCCCUCAAGCACGGCUUGUGUGUUGGGCUCUCGCCCCCCGCUUCCGGGGGGCGGGCCCGAAAGGCAGCGGCGGCACCGCGUCCGGUCCUCGAGCGUAUGGGGCUUCGUCACCCGCUCUGUAGGCCCGGCCGGCGCCCGCCGGCGAACACCAUCAAUCUUAACCAGGUUGACCUCGGAUCAGGUAGGGAUACCCGCUGAACUUAAGCAUAUCAA
This 549-nucleotide ribosomal RNA is filed under the name Penicillium oxalicum. RNAcentral describes it as "eukaryotic LSU rRNA". The stretch from base 178 to 331 matches the Rfam family "5.8S ribosomal RNA". The record is from RNAcentral. Lineage: Eukaryota; Fungi; Ascomycota; Eurotiomycetes; Eurotiales; Aspergillaceae.